RNAcentral lists this ribosomal RNA (493 nucleotides) under uncultured bacterium. RNAcentral describes it as "bacterial SSU rRNA". It matches the Rfam family "Bacterial small subunit ribosomal RNA", at positions 29 to 509 of the family's 1533-position model. The record is from RNAcentral.
AGUGAACGCUGGCGGCAGGCCUAAUACAUGCAAGUCGAACGGCAGCACAGCAGAGCUUGCUCUGUGGGUGGCGAGUGGCGGACGGGUGAGGAAUACAUGGGAAUCUGCCCAGUCGUGGGGGAUAACGUAUGGAAACGUACGCUAAUACCGCAUGCGCCCUACGGGGGAAAGUCGGGGACCGCAAGGCCUGGCGCGAUUGGAUGAGCCCAUGUUCGAUUAGCUAGUUGGCGGGGUAAAGGCCCACCAAGGCGACGAUCGAUAGCUGGUCUGAGAGGAUGAUCAGCCACACUGGAACUGAGACACGGUCCAGACUCCUACGGGGAGGCAGCAGUAGGGAAUAUUGGACAAUGGGGGCAACCCUGAUCCAGCCAUGCCGCGUGAGUGAAGAAGGCCCUCGGGUUGUAAAGCUCUUUUGUCCGGAAAGAAAAGCAUCUGGUUAAUACCCGGGUGUUCUGACGGUACCGGAAGAAUAAGCACCGGCUAACUUCGUGCC